CAAAAAGGUCUCGUUGGUGACCAGCGGAGGGAUCAUUACCGAGUUUACAACUCCCAAACCCCAAUGUGAACGUUACCAAUCUGUUGCCUCGGCGGGAUUCUCUUGCCCCGGGCGCGUCGCAGCCCCGGAUCCCAUGGCGCCCGCCGGAGGACCAACUCCAAACUCUUUUUUCUCUCCGUCGCGGCUCCCGUCGCGGCUCUGUUUUAUUUUUGCUCUGAGCCUUUCUCGGCGACCCUAGCGGGCGUCUCGAAAAUGAAUCAAAACUUUCAACAACGGAUCUCUUGGUUCUGGCAUCGAUGAAGAACGCAGCGAAAUGCGAUAAGUAAUGUGAAUUGCAGAAUUCAGUGAAUCAUCGAAUCUUUGAACGCACAUUGCGCCCGCCAGUAUUCUGGCGGGCAUGCCUGUCCGAGCGUCAUUUCAACCCUCGAACCCCUCCGGGGGGUCGGCGUUGGGGAUCGGCCCCUCACCGGGCCGCCCCCGAAAUACAGUGGCGGUCUCGCCGCAGCCUCUCCUGCGCAUAUUUUGGCACUCACACCGGAAGCUCGGCGCGACCUUAGCCGUAAAACAGCCCAGCUUCUGAAGUGUGGACCUCACAUCAGAUACAAAUACCCGCUUAACUUACUCAUACCGAAGAGAAGGA
Molecule: ribosomal RNA, 640 nt
Filed under: Trichoderma longibrachiatum
Lineage: Eukaryota; Fungi; Ascomycota; Sordariomycetes; Hypocreales; Hypocreaceae
Description: eukaryotic LSU rRNA
Rfam family: 5.8S ribosomal RNA (bases 262-415)
Source: RNAcentral